RNAcentral lists this ribosomal RNA (734 nucleotides) under Yersinia sp. (in: enterobacteria). Its description in RNAcentral is "bacterial SSU rRNA". It matches the Rfam family "Bacterial small subunit ribosomal RNA", at positions 28 to 751 of the family's 1533-position model. The record is from RNAcentral. Lineage: Bacteria; Pseudomonadati; Pseudomonadota; Gammaproteobacteria; Enterobacterales; Yersiniaceae.
AUUGAACGCUGGCGGCAGGCCUAACACAUGCAAGUCGAGCGGCAGCGGAAAGUAGCUUGCUACUUUGCCGGCGAGCGGCGGACGGGUGAGUAAUGUCUGGGAAACUGCCCGAUGGAGGGGGAUAACUACUGGAAACGGUAGCUAAUACCGCAUAACGUCUUCGGACCAAAGUGGGGGACCUUCGGGCCUCACACCAUCGGAUGUGCCCAGAUGGGAUUAGCUAGUAGGUGAGGUAAUGGCUCACCUAGGCGACGAUCCCUAGCUGGUCUGAGAGGAUGACCAGCCACACUGGAACUGAGACACGGUCCAGACUCCUACGGGAGGCAGCAGUGGGGAAUAUUGCACAAUGGGCGCAAGCCUGAUGCAGCCAUGCCGCGUGUGUGAAGAAGGCCUUCGGGUUGUAAAGCACUUUCAGCGAGGAGGAAGGCAGUCGUGUUAAUAGCGCGACUGAUUGACGUUACUCGCAGAAGAAGCACCGGCUAACUCCGUGCCAGCAGCCGCGGUAAUACGGAGGGUGCAAGCGUUAAUCGGAAUUACUGGGCGUAAAGCGCACGCAGGCGGUUUGUUAAGUCAGAUGUGAAAUCCCCGCGCUUAACGUGGGAACUGCAUUUGAAACUGGCAAGCUAGAGUCUUGUAGAGGGGGGUAGAAUUCCAGGUGUAGCGGUGAAAUGCGUAGAGAUCUGGAGGAAUACCGGUGGCGAAGGCGGCCCCCUGGACAAAGACUGACGCUCAGG